CCUACGGGAGGCAGCAGUAGGGAAUUUUCCGCAAUGGGCGAAAGCCUGACGGAGCAAUACCGCGUGAGGGAUGACGGCCUGUGGGUUGUAAACCUCUUUUCUCAAGGAAGAAGUUCUGACGGUACUUGAGGAAUAAGCAUCGGCUAACUCUGUGCCAGCAGCCGCGGUAAUACAGAGGAUGCAAGCGUUAUCCGGAAUCACUGGGCAUAAAGCGUCUGUAGGUUGUUUAGUAAGUCUGCUGUUAAAGACUGGGGCUUAACCCCAGAAAAGCAGUGGAAACUGCUAGACUCGAGUGUGGUAGAGGUAGAGGGAAUUCCUAGUGUAGCGGUGAAAUGCGUAGAUAUUAGGAAGAACACCAAUGGCGAAGGCACUCUACUGGGCCAUAACUGACACUGAGAGACGACAGCUAGGGGAGCAAACGGGAUUAGAUACCCCGGUAGUCCUAGCCGUAAACGAUGGAUACUAGAUGUUGCACGUAUUAACCCGUGCAGUAUCGUAGCUAAGGCGUUAAGUAUCCGCCUGGGAAGUACGCUCGCAAGAGUGAAACUCAAAGNGAAUGACGNGAGAGAGCGACGACGACGACGACGGAGGAGAG
Molecule: ribosomal RNA, 595 nt
Filed under: uncultured bacterium
Lineage: Bacteria
Description: bacterial SSU rRNA
Rfam family: Bacterial small subunit ribosomal RNA
Source: RNAcentral